RNAcentral lists this ribosomal RNA (253 nucleotides) under uncultured bacterium. RNAcentral describes it as "partial 16S ribosomal RNA". It matches the Rfam family "Bacterial small subunit ribosomal RNA", at positions 524 to 776 of the family's 1533-position model. The record is from RNAcentral.
UACGUAGGGUGCGAGCGUUAAUCGGAAUUACUGGGCGUAAAGUGUGCGCAGGCGGCUCCGCAAGUCGAGUGUGAAAUCCCCGAGCUUAACUUGGGAAUUGCGCUCGAAACUACGGAGCUGGAGUGUGGCAGAGGAAGGUGGAAUUCCACGUGUAGCGGUGAAAUGCGUAGAUAUGUGGAGGAACAUCAGAGGCGAAGGCGACUACCUGGCCGAUUACUGACGCUGAGGAACGAAAGCGUGGGGAGCAAACAGG